GAUCUGCUUAUAUAUAAAAAAAACCGAAACAACAAUUUCUUAUAUAAUAAUAUAUGUUAUACAGUUAAUUGGUAGAUUUGUUAAUCGGCGCUUACCUAGGUACCUUGGUUUUCGCUUACAUAAUGAGAAAUUUACUUAAGGUCUAGCCACGACAGCAGAGUAGCUGGGUAAAUUAUUUUACUUAUUCUGGAAACUAGCCACAAACGUAGGGUAGUGCCUCAAAGCGAUCAUGCGUUAAUGCUAUAAUGCUAUUAGCGAAACUAAAACAUUGGUAGUAAGCCAUGCAGUGAAACUAGCUAUGAAGGCAUUGCACGGCAACAAGACUACAGCAAAGCAAUGGGGAAUAAUACUAUAUCUAAAUUGCCUGUAUAGUUACUCGGACAAGUAACUAUGUGUGAUGUACCCACGAUGUAGCAACCGAACUGCCUGGUGGAUGUCUGGACCUGUCUGGUAGGUACGACUGCCGGGGUACUGGAUAGCUAGGGCUGGAAGGGUACUUCGUAACCAUAUACUAAGGCACCACCUGCGGGGAGGCCACUGGUUGGCCAGCAACAAGGAAAACAUAUGUGAACAAAACCAAUAAAACUACCCUAAUCCAAUCAUUUGCAACCCACUAUCUACUCUCACUCUCCCCUCUUGGGAAUGACCUUAAAGAUGAUAAGUUCAGCAUAAUAAAAUAAACCUGUAACAAAACUGGCCAAUAAAGUCUAGAUAGCAGAA
Anoplophora glabripennis (Asian longhorned beetle) is the source of this 720-nucleotide long non-coding RNA. RefSeq lists it as uncharacterized. The transcript is spliced from 3 exons. NCBI's taxonomy places the organism in Eukaryota, Metazoa, Arthropoda, Insecta, Coleoptera, Cerambycidae. The record is from RefSeq and is a predicted model, not a curated record.